ACACGGGGAGGCGGCUGAGGCCCAGCAAGAAUUCAAGCUCCGCGGGGGCAGGCCAGCAGUGCUGGGGGACCCGGCGCACCCUCCGCAGCUGCUGGCCCGGGUGCUAAACCCCUCACUGCCCGGGCCGGCGGUGCCGGCGGGCUGCUCUCAGUGCGGGACCUCGGAGCCUGCGCCCACCCGGAACUAGCCGCGUUCAGCCCUGGUUCCCGCCCCCGCCUCUCCCGCCACACCUCUCCACAAGCAGAGGGAGCUGGCUUCAGCCUCAGCCAGCACAGAGAGGGGCCCCCAUAGCGCAGUGGCGGGCUGAAGGGCUCCUUGAGCAUGGCCAGAGUGGACGCCAAGGCUGAGGAGGCGCCGAGAGCCAGUGAGGGCUGCUAGCAUGUUGUCACCUCUCAAUACAUAAAACUACUGGAGGGUGGUUCCAAGAUGGCCAAAUAGGAACAGCUCCAGUCUACAGCUCCCAGCAUGAGUGAUGCAGAAGACGAAUGAUUUCUGCAUUUCCAACUCAGAGAGCUGACUUUAGAGGGAUCAAGAAUAGCUUGCUGGAUGGAAGGAGCUUCAAGCCCACCCUUCUAUAUUCUUUAAUUGAUGCUGAGACUGGGCCCUUGCAAACAAGUUGGCUUUGCCAACUGGCUCCCUAUGAGGCUUUGCCAUUGGGGGAUGCUAAAUGGAGAAGACGUGCUCCUUCCUGUUUCCUCUGGGUUUCCUGUUUCUGUGACCAUCACCCAGCCUCACUUCUUUCCCAAACCUGGAACCAGUACUUGAUUCCAGGUGCAGCCAUGGACUCCAACCAGUUGUUUUUCCAACACUCACAGAAUCUGCUUUCUCUCGUCUCCAACUCCUGAAACACCAGCCCCACAGCUGAGAUGCUCCCUUGCUCAGAGGUUUGAGUUUUGCAGCUCCCUGCAGGCCCACUUUCUAAGUUUUAAUACAUCUAGUCUCUUCUCUUUGCUUCCAGAGCCUUAAGGUUGGUAGUUGCUUCCUGUAAUUGUAACCUCUGUGAUAUCUUAAUGUUUCCCUUUUGAAUGUUCUGCUCUUCAAUAUCUAGUUAACAGUUCUUUAUGGUACCCUAUUUCUGUCUUUUUACCAGACCUGACUGACACAGGCUCUCCCAAGAUGGAGAAUAAAGGGGAAACUCAUGAAUUUCUAUGUCAUUCAGGAAUGACACUGAGGCCUUCAUUAUGUGGGGAUGGUGAGAAUAUAGGGGAAGAGGUACAUUUGACAAAUGUCAGGUGGGAAGGAACCAAUAGGACUUGAUGAUUAGAAACAGGGAGUGAAGACAGAGGACAGUAUAAUAGGUGAAGUUUCCAUCCUGGUGGUUGGGAAAAUGAUAUUGCUUUAGAAUACUGGGAAAGUUGGGAAAAGAAAUAAGUCCAGGUAAGGGACGUGCAAGUGGAGAUAUUUUAAAGGCAUGUGUUAAAGAGGAACUGAAAUUCAAGGGAGAACUGGAGAGAUGACCUCAACUGUGAGCAUGGAGACAGUGGCUUAGUUCCCUGAGGAUGUGAGGAUGGAACAGCAGUUGCCAGGUAACUUGCAGAAAGGAGCUUAGUCUAAAGUCCAGCAUGUGGCCUCCUGCCCAUAACAAACACAGAUAACCUUCUUUUUAAUAACCUGUACAGGUUAGGAAGAAUAGGAACUACAGGACCACUAUUUUAACUAGAAGAAGAUAUUAGUGAUUAUUUGAGAUUCUGUCAUUGCUUGCAUAAGCAAACUUCACUUCUGGGUGAGUCAAUCGAAUGGAGUGUCAAUGAACAAUGUUACCUUUAAUUUUUUUAUGAUGGAAGCAGAUGAGCAAGCUACAUAAACAGCCACUUUACAUGAGCAGAAGACUAUGAAGCUUGUUGUCAUCAAAUAAAACGCACAGCAAAGCUCAUCUGACACACGUUUGAUAAUAUUCACGGUUAUUAUUGUGCUACACUGUAAUUAGGCACAGGUGCUAAGCAGUUCUUGUAAAAUAUUGUAAUUCAUAUUGAUGAAAGUCAAACCAACUUUUUAUACUUUUUACUUUUUAACUUUAUCUAAAAUGGAUCUCAGCAGUUUUCAUUGAUACCAUGUACCAUCAAUUAAAAUCCAUCUGUCAAACAUGUAUUGAGUUGUUAUUAUUUUCCAGGUACUGUGCUGGGCUCUGGGGCAUAAAAAUAUGAACAGAAUUGCCAAAAGUUGAGUUUAUGUGUGCACUUAAAUCUGAGCACAUGUACGCUCCUGAGUGAUCCACACGUUUCUGCAUAAUGAUCCUGUAUCCUGUACUCUGCAUUCUCCUUGAGUAAAAGUACAACUUCCUCUGAUAUCAUUUCUUGCUUCAGUUGACAACCUUACUCCUCCCAUGCCUGCCUUUUUCCAGCCCUCUGUGGGGCAUUGAGGGGUUCUCCACCAGCAUUUCCCAUUCUAACUUUUCUGGAGGGUAGGUGUCUUGACACGAGAGAACUCGGGCUCAUGACGUCGGAAUAAUAGACACACGGUAGAUUGGAUGGCAUGGGCAAUAGAGAAACACAGGAAGAAGGGGCCUUUCCUCCGUAGAAAUGGACUGUCUUACAGAAGGGAGAGGUAAAGGUUAGGAGCAAGAGCCUAUGUCAGGGCUGGGAAAAUAGCUGGGAGCUGACUAGGAUAGGACACGUGCUUGAGUAGGACGGUUUCCUUCCCGAAGAAACUAUCACCCAGCAACUCUAGGGGAGGGGCCCUGAGUAACAGAAGCUGGUAUAGUCUCUAACCUGUUCUCCCAAAUAAGACAGAAGAACAUAUUUGAGAGAGAUGCUGAAGAACAUUGCCCCCUUCUUUUGGCCCCUCAUGAAUCAGUCCGGAUAGGUUAAAUAAUGUUGCUGUAAUAAACAACCUUCAGGUCUUAGUGGUGCAGUACUACAAAGAUGUAUGUCUCCCUUAGUUUGCGCACCCAUCGUAGGAUGGCUAGGUGCUUUGCUCCAUGUCCUCCUCACUCAGGAUGCAAGCUGACAGAACCUCCACUAUCUGGGAACAUCAUUGAUUUCUCAGUCAAGGGGAAGGAAAGGGCAAAUCACACACUGGCUCUUAAAGGUUCUACCCAGAAAUGCAUAAGUCAUUUCAUUCACAUGUCAUUGUGAAUGUGUAAAUGGUAAAGCAAGUCACACACAUGAUAAUGCCAUUCUUCAAGGUGGCAGAGAAGUACACUUCUACUAUUUGCCCAGAAGUAAGAGUGCUAGAAACAUCCUUCCUAAGAUACCUAUGCAUUAUGCAAUGGGUUACUGGUGAUUCUUAAGGAGCAACUACAUGGGUAGUAAUAGUGUGAUUUUCCAGGGUCACUGGAAUGAGAAUCUUCCACUGUCCUUGAAAUAUCUUUUUUACCUACUCUAUGAUGCAUGGAGUUCCUUUAAUAGCACAUAGUAUUGUGUGUAUUAAGUAAGGAAGUCUUAAAAUACCUAAUUAAUAAUGCUUGUUUAUAUGGUUACAAAUCUGGUCCUUUGUGUUUUGCUAAAAGGGAAGGGCUCUCUACAGGGCAUGAAAGACAAGGUGCUCUGCUGCGUACUGUGCAUUUCUAAUAUGCGAGG
RNAcentral lists this long non-coding RNA (3518 nucleotides) under Homo sapiens (human). RNAcentral describes it as "non-protein coding lnc-STYX-5:10". The record is from RNAcentral. Lineage: Eukaryota; Metazoa; Chordata; Mammalia; Primates; Hominidae.